UCACUUGUGGGGGGAUUAGUGGCGAACGGGUGAGUAACACGUGAGUAACCUGCCCUUAACUCUGGGAUAAGCCUGGGAAACUGGGUCUAAUACCGGAUAUGACUCCUCAUCGCAUGGUGGGGGGUGGAAAGCUUUAUUGUGGUUUUGGAUGGACUCGCGGCCUAUCAGCUUGUUGGUGAGGUAAUGGCUCACCAAGGCGACGACGGGUAGCCGGCCUGAGAGGGUGACCGGCCACACUGGGACUGAGACACGGCCCAGACUCCUACGGGAGGCAGCAGUGGGGAAUAUUGCACAAUGGGCGAAAGCCUGAUGCAGCGACGCCGCGUGAGGGAUGACGGCCUUCGGGUUGUAAACCUCUUUCAGUAGGGAAGAAGCGAAAGUGACGGUACCUGCAGAAGAAGCGCCGGCUAACUACGUGCCAGCAGCCGCGGUAAUACGUAGGGCGCAAGCGUUAUCCGGAAUUAUUGGGCGUAAAGAGCUCGUAGGCGGUUUGUCGCGUCUGCCGUGAAAGUCCGGGGCUCAACUCCGGAUCUGCGGUGGGUACGGGCAGACUAGAGUGAUGUAGGGGAGACUGGAAUUCCUGGUGUAGCGGUGAAAUGCGCAGAUAUCAGGAGGAACACCGAUGGCGAAGGCAGGUCUCUGGGCAUUAACUGACGCUGAGGAGCGAAAGCAUGGGGAGCGAACAGGAUUAGAUACCCUGGUAGUCCAUGCCGUAAACGUUGGGCACUAGGUGUGGGGGACAUUCCACGUUUUCCGCGCCGUAGCUAACGCAUUAAGUGCCCCGCCUGGGGAGUACGGCCGCAAGGCUAAAACUCAAAGGAAUUGACGGGGGCCCGCACAAGCGGCGGAGCAUGCGGAUUAAUUCGAUGCAACGCGAAGAACCUUACCAAGGCUUGACAUGAACCGGUAAUACCUGGAAACAGGUGCCCCGCUUGCGGUCGGUUUACAGGUGGUGCAUGGUUGUCGUCAGCUCGUGUCGUGAGAUGUUGGGUUAAGUCCCGCAACGAGCGCAACCCUCGUUCUAUGUUGCCAGCGCGUUAUGGCGGGGACUCAUAGGAGACUGCCGGGGUCAACUCGGAGGAAGGUGGGGACGACGUCAAAUCAUCAUGCCCCUUAUGUCUUGGGCUUCACGCAUGCUACAAUGGCCGGUACAAAGGGUUGCGAUACUGUGAGGUGGAGCUAAUCCCAAAAAGCCGGUCUCAGUUCGGAUUGGGGUCUGCAACUCGACCCCAUGAAGUCGGAGUCGCUAGUAAUCGCAGAUCAGCAACGCUGCGGUGAAUACGUUCCCGGGCCUUGUACACACCGCCCGUCAAGUCACGAAAGUUGGUAACACCCGAAGCCGGUGGCCUAA
Molecule: ribosomal RNA, 1351 nt
Filed under: Arthrobacter sp. F1-1-1
Lineage: Bacteria; Bacillati; Actinomycetota; Actinomycetes; Micrococcales; Micrococcaceae
Description: bacterial SSU rRNA
Rfam family: Bacterial small subunit ribosomal RNA
Source: RNAcentral